This 85-nucleotide transfer RNA is filed under the name Hyphomonadaceae bacterium. RNAcentral describes it as "tRNA-Tyr". It matches the Rfam family "tRNA". From Rfam's summary of the family: Transfer RNA (tRNA) molecules are approximately 80 nucleotides in length. Their secondary structure includes four short double-helical elements and three loops (D, anti-codon, and T loops). Lineage: Bacteria; Pseudomonadati; Pseudomonadota; Alphaproteobacteria; Hyphomonadales; Hyphomonadaceae. RNAcentral also lists the same sequence under 2 other names. The record is from RNAcentral.
GGAGAGGUGGCCGAGUGGUUAAAGGCGUCAGACUGUAAAUCUGAUCUCAUUGAGUACGUUGGUUCGAAUCCAACCCUCUCCACCA